AGUGGCGUGGUCUAGUGGUAUGAUUUCCCCUUCACAGAAUUCAUGCGAAUUAUGUGCGAAGUCCGGGGAAGGUCCAGGGUUCGAUCCCCUGCGCUACUA
Molecule: non-coding RNA, 99 nt
Organism: Xylona heveae TC161
Lineage: Eukaryota; Fungi; Ascomycota; Xylonomycetes; Xylonales; Xylonaceae
Source: the annotation of a RefSeq genome assembly